ACGGCUCCUCCCACGACUUGCCCAGUUGAGGUCCUCUGUUACCACCAAACCCAAGGACCGUGGCAGCAUGUCCCCCAGGGGCUCUGCUCCGCUAAUUUGUGUCCUGUCCUGGGCUCCUGCUCACUGUGUGCAGCAGCUGACUCGGCACUACUGGCCCUUGGGGACUCGUGGGCAGCUCCUACUCACCAAGGUUCCUGUAGCCUGUGUCCCCUCAGUGGCCUGGCUGUCCUAGCUGAUGAUCCCUGGGGCUGUGCUGGUUUCACCUCAGGCUGCAAGAAGCAUAGUCGUGGCAGUGGCUGAGGACUCCAGGGAGGAGGUACACAGGUGUCCUGAUUGGCACCUGGAGACCCUGACGACUGAGUCAAGAUCAAGACACAAGUGCAAGACAUUGCUCACUUACUGUAGCUCCCUCUGGGGUUCUCUCCAUGCUUGGGCUGCUUGGCUGAGGGUAUCUUUCUUCACUGUGAAGCAGGCAAUGGAGGGAUCCUGAGGAGGAAAGUGUUCUCAAAGGCGAAGGAAGAUAAGGUAUGUUGAGGGCCCACCAUGCCUAAUGCACUGAACUACAUUACUCUUUGGAGAGGAAGUCCCUAGAAGAGAAGAGCUGGGAACUUGGACCCUCCUGGCCUUCCUAGGUCUUCCUAGAGGCUCUGCUGGAGGAAAUGAGAGAAUCAGGAGUAAUAAGAAACAAUGAGGCUCUUACAGCCCAGUUCUGAAACUUCAAUUCCCAGGGCUUCAGCCUCUCGGCCCAGACAGAGAAGAGGCACAGUAGCAGCAGGCUCUGAAAGAAACCAGCACCCUUCCCGCAUGCCGAGGCGUGGUCGCUGUCUGUGCCACUGCUGGGCAGGGCUCUGCUGGGCCCUGAACCUCCACCUCGCUCAGCUCCAGCAAAGACAGAUGCACUGCCCCAAAAGUCACCUGCUACUUCCUGUCCCUGAUAGCCACUUCAGACCUGAGCAUAAGCCACAUCCAGAAACACUGGAUCCUCUGGAAGAAAGACAAGGUUAGACAGAAGGCUGCAACCAACAGCACUUUCCCCAGCCACUUGCUGCGUGCCUCCCUUGAUGGCCCAAGAGAGUCUCAGCAGGACCUGGGCUGUAAAGGACAUCCCUACAAGCCUCACCUCACAGGUGAGCCCCUCCCUUGAAGCCUCUACCUGACAGCAGUACUUACCCUAGCUCUCUAUGGGCUCCUGGUCCUUGGCUAGGAAGAGUGAGUUAGAUACCUGAGCUGCAGAGGUUACUGAAAGUACAGAGACAUGGGUCAGUCCCUGAGAUAGUGAACUGGGGAGAAAUGCUGGCCAGGUGGCUAAAAGGUAGAUAGUGUCAGGGGAUCCAGCACUGGGAGAGGCACAGGGUCUGGCAAGGCUGGUUCGCUUGGUGCCUGAUACACCUGGAAAUGGGCAGUGCAGGUGAGGUCAGCCAGGAGCAAUGCUUAUGGUCUGGCAUGACCAAGAUGGAUCUAAGCUGGGAAACUUUCUCUCUCUCAAGUUCAGAGAAAACUAAUCACAUGAUUGGAAAUUUUCACCAACGGCAUUGCUCAUUAUCAUUUCCUCCAAAGAUCUAGACCAUGAACGUAUCUUUCUAUCAUAUUGGGCUCAUGUCCCAGAAAAGAUACGUCACUCCCAGUAACUCACGGUGCAACCCAGAUAAGAAAUGAAACUUUGACUUCAAACAAAGCUUUGUGUUCUCUGAUAUGUCUUGAAACUAUAUUAUUACAUCUAAAGGCAGCAAUGCAUCCUGCUGGCCAAAGUGGUUUAGACGAAGAUUCACAGUCUGAACAAGAAGGAGUCUUGGACACAAGAGUCAAAUGCAACAUCAAGGAAGAAAACGGGAUAAAAUUAUGUGAAUAGAUAUCAAUUGUCAUCAAGGCAGGGUUUUAGUGUACAUUUAAUGCAGUGUUUCUUUUUUGUGUUCUGAAAUGUGUCAUAAAACAUUGUCUUAAAUCUAUGGCAUGUGUAUCGAUUCUGGAGCCAGACUUCUGGGUUCAAAAUUAGACUUCAUCACUCGCUA
Long non-coding RNA from Canis lupus familiaris (dog), 2009 nucleotides. RefSeq lists it as uncharacterized. The transcript is spliced from 2 exons. NCBI's taxonomy places the organism in Eukaryota, Metazoa, Chordata, Mammalia, Carnivora, Canidae. The record is from RefSeq and is a predicted model, not a curated record.